RNAcentral lists this transfer RNA (73 nucleotides) under Crypturellus tataupa. RNAcentral describes it as "tRNA-Asn". It matches the Rfam family "tRNA". Rfam says of the family: Transfer RNA (tRNA) molecules are approximately 80 nucleotides in length. Their secondary structure includes four short double-helical elements and three loops (D, anti-codon, and T loops). Further hydrogen bonds mediate the characteristic L-shaped molecular structure. tRNAs have two regions of fundamental functional importance: the anti-codon, which is responsible for specific mRNA codon recognition, and the 3' end, to which the tRNAs corresponding amino acid is attached (by aminoacyl-tRNA synthetases). tRNAs cope with the degeneracy of the genetic code in two manners: having more than one tRNA (with a specific anti-codon) for a particular amino acid; and 'wobble' base-pairing, i.e. permitting non-standard base-pairing at the 3rd anti-codon position. Lineage: Eukaryota; Metazoa; Chordata; Aves; Tinamiformes; Tinamidae. The record is from RNAcentral.
UAGGCAGAAGCCCGUAGGAUAGGGCACUUAGCUGUUAACUAAGUAGUCAUGGGAUCGAGGCCCAUCUGUCUAG